GACGAACGCUGGCGGCGUGCUUAACACAUGCAAGUCGAACGGAAAGGCACUGCUUGUGUGGGGUGCUGGAGUGGCGAAGGGGGGAGGAACACGUGAGUAACCGGCCCUUGACUUUGGGAGAACUUAAGGAAACUGGGGCUAAGAUCGGAUAGGAUCUCCUGCUGGAGGGUGGGGGGUGGAAAGUUGCGGCGGUUGGGGAUGGACGCGCGGCUUAUGAGCUUGCUGGUGGGGUAGUGGCUUACCAAGGAUUUGACGGGUAGCCGGCCUGAGAGGGUGACCGGCCACAUUGGGCCUGAGAGACGGCCCAUACGGCUUCGGGAGGCAGGAGUGGGGAAUUUUGCCAGCUGGGCCGCAGCCUGAUGGAGGACCGCCGGGUGCGGGAUCCCGGCUGUCGGGUUGGAAACCGCUUUCGCUUGUGACGAAGCGUGAUUGACGUUACUGGGUAAUGAGGCACGGCUUACUUAGUU
RNAcentral lists this ribosomal RNA (467 nucleotides) under uncultured bacterium. RNAcentral describes it as "partial 16S ribosomal RNA". It matches the Rfam family "Bacterial small subunit ribosomal RNA", at positions 28 to 507 of the family's 1533-position model. The record is from RNAcentral.